RNAcentral lists this ribosomal RNA (467 nucleotides) under uncultured bacterium. Its description in RNAcentral is "partial 16S ribosomal RNA". It matches the Rfam family "Bacterial small subunit ribosomal RNA", at positions 28 to 507 of the family's 1533-position model. The record is from RNAcentral.
GACGGACGCUGGCGGCGUGCUUAACACAUGCAAGUCGAACGAUGACGACCGAGCUUGCUCGGUCUGAUUAGUGGCGAACGGGUGAGUAACACGUGAGCAACCUGCCCUUCACUCUGGGAUAACCUCGGGAAAUCGGGGCUAAUACCGGAUAUGAGCUCCUGUCGCAUGGCGGGUGUUGGAAAGUUUUUCGGUGCAGGAUGGGCUCGCGGCCUAUCAGUUUGUUGGUGAGGUAGUGGCUCACCAAGGCGAUGACGGGUAGCCGGCCUGAGAGGGCGACCGGCCACACUGGGACUGAGACACGGCCCAGACUCCUACGGGAGGCAGCAGUGGGGAAUAUUGCACAAUGGGCGAAAGCCUGAUGCAGCGACGCCGCGUGAGGGAUGACGGCCUUCGGGUUGUAAACCUCUUUCAGCAGGGAAGAAGCGAAAGUGACGGUACCUGCAGAAGAAGCGCCGGCUAACUACGUG